AACGAACGCUGGCGGCAUGCCUAACACAUGCAAGUCGAACGAGACCUUCGGGUCUAGUGGCGCACGGGUGCGUAACGCGUGGGAACCUUCCCUUAGGUUCGGAAUAACUCCCCGAAAGGGGUGCUAAUACCGGAUAAUGUCUUCGGACCAAAGAUUUAUCGCCUUUGGAUGGGCCCGCGUUGGAUUAGCUAGUUGGUAGGGUAAAAGCCUACCAAGGCGACGAUCCAUAGCUGGUCGGAGAGGAUGAUCAGCCACACUGGGACUGAGACACGGCCCAGACUCCUACGGGAGGGAGCAGUGGGGAAUAUUGGACAAUGGGCGAAAGCCUGAUCAAGCAAUGCCGCGUGAGUGAUGAAGGCCUUAGGGUUGUAAAGCUCUUUUACCCGGGAUGAUAAUGACAGUACCGGGAGAAUAAGCUCCGGCUAACUCCGUG
Molecule: ribosomal RNA, 433 nt
Filed under: uncultured bacterium
Lineage: Bacteria
Description: partial 16S ribosomal RNA
Rfam family: Bacterial small subunit ribosomal RNA
Source: RNAcentral